AUUUACUAUGCACACAAACAUUUACCUAAUUUUUCUUUCAAUAAGAAACCUUAUCCGUUGCGCUGGUGCCUGAUUUUCUGACUGCAAAGUCUCUUCAAAGUCUCCUUUGCAAUUUCUCUGAAGUCUAAACCUCCCUUUGUCUUUUCAUGGAUGAGAGAAUAACAGUGGCUAUAUGAAACGGAGCGGCGAUCUCAAAUACUCGCCAUACUCUGUUUUUCAGCUCCACUUGUUCCAGCAAGCACUUCUGAGACAUCAAAGCGAGUUGGCCAAGACUGAGAAGCAAGUCGUACUCAGGAAGCUGCCCCCCAGGGUGACUUUGCAGGCUUUGCCUUUCCGACCUCUACAGCAGGUGGCUCGGUUCUGUGCAGCACCAGCUCCUCUCACCCUCCUGAAAAAAGAAGAGAGAAGUAGCUUUUGCACUAUUGUCUGGCAUCAUCUACCUGGAACCAACAGGGUCCACAUUCAGACCACGAAGAAGAGAGACCUCCAGGUGAGAAUUCGUAAUGGACCUGCCCUUCUCAGCCCCGAGAAUAGGAGACUUUCCUUCUUGAAGAGUGUUUAAAUGGGGAAAACAAUGAAACACAAUUUUUUAAUGAAAAUAAACAUUAAAUGACAAGGUGAAUAUUACCAUUCCAGCUAGUGGCUCUUCAUCUACUUUUCCUGAGAGACGACUAUGAGGACUAUACCCCAAAUAACACUCAAGUGAUACAUAACUUUCAGCUCCAGGAGUAAAGGUACUGUCAGUCUCUUGUGUUCCUACUGAUCAGCUCAGCAUCUGGAUCAUAUGUACCACAUGUAAGAUGACCAUUUUCUAUCUUCUUAACUACAUUGCAAAAGAUGCUGGCGAUUCAUGUGAUCUUAACAGGUAUUCUACAGUUCAGUAUUGUAGGAAGUCGUUCAUUUUUAUUCUUAUCUCUUUGGGUUCCACAUUCCUAUUUACUUGUUAAAGAGUGAGUAUUCCUGGGGGAAAGUUGUUCUAUCUUAGAUUUUCAAAACUAACUGUGAUGAAAUGAUUUUAUGUUUUAAAAAAACAUGUUUGAGUGUUUUGAGAACUACUGGUAUCUUGUGGAACACAACAAAGAAAAUUGUGGCAUAGGCAAUUAUAAAUACAAUAGAUUUACCCUCUUGAAAUAUAAAAGGAGUGCUGUUUACCUGAUUUUUGUAUGGAAAAGAGUAUUUGAAAACUGUAACACUAAAUACUAUGGGAAAAUACCAGUAUCACUCAAUAUUUGUGGGAGGUCAAAAUGUCGCACACUUAUUUUAUAGGGAGAUUUUGCAGUGCUAUUAACAUCUAAAAUACAUUGCACCCACUAACCAUUACCACUGACUCAGUAACUCCAACUCUAGAAUUUAGCCCACAGGUAUAUUGACACACAUACAAAACAACAAAAGUACACAUAAACAUUGCAGCAUUGGUUGUAAUACGUUCAGAUUAAAAUGUCAAUGAGUGUAAACAUUCAUUGGUAGGGCGCUGUUGUAUAAAUUAUUGCAUACGCACACUAAAGUGAAAAAGCUGGAG
Molecule: long non-coding RNA, 1519 nt
Filed under: Heterocephalus glaber (naked mole-rat)
Lineage: Eukaryota; Metazoa; Chordata; Mammalia; Rodentia; Bathyergidae
Description: lncRNA (ENSHGLG00100026599.2)
Source: RNAcentral